UGGGGGGCAGAGGUUUGGGAUUUGCAGGGCUGAUGUGUCUCUCUGCCUCUCUGAUUUCAGGAAGUGCCCUUCACCUUUCAAAAGGAAGAAAGCAAAGCAAGGAGCUAAUGGGAGGCAGGAGGCGCAGCAGCAGCAGCCUGGCAGCAAGGCUGUCCCAUCAGCAGUGCCCACGUAUGAGGAUGUCCCAGAUGUCCCUGUGUAUGCCACGGUGAGCAGGAGGGGAGUCCAGCAGGAGGAGAGCAUCCACUACGCCGACAUCCAGGUGUUGUGCAGGGCCCAGCAGCGCUCAGCCGCCCCGGUGAGGAGCCUGCAGCAGCACCAGCCCACCGAGUACGCCACCCUCAACUUCCCCAGGGCCAGGCUCAAGUACGACAGCAAAAACGGGACCUUGGUCUGAGAGAAACCAGGGCCUCGUGCUGCUGCUCUGGCAGGGAAAGGAGCUCGAACCAUGGACUCCUCCUUCAGGAGGAAAAGGAGCUCAGCCCAUGGAUUCAUCCUCCAGCAGGGAAAGGAGCUCAGCCCAUGGACUCCUCCUUCAGGAGGAAAAGGAGCUCACCCCAUUGACUCAUCCUCCAGCAGGGAAAGGAGCUCAGCCCGUGGCCUUGUCUUCCAUCAGGAAAAGGAGCUCAUCCCAUGGCUUCAUCCCUCAACAGGAAAAGGAGCUCACCCCAUGGACUCCUCCUUCAGGAAAGGGAGCUCAGCCCAUGGCCUUGUCCUGCUCCUCCAUCAGGGAAAGGAGCUCACCCCAUGGCCUUGUCCUUCAGCAGGGAAAGGAGCUCAGCCCAUGGUUUCAUCCUCCUCUUCCAUCAAAAAAAGGAGCUCACCCCAUGGCCUUGUCUUCCAUCAAAAAAAGGAGCUCACCCCAUGGCCUCAUCCUGCUCCUCCAUCAGGGAAAGGAGCUCACCCCAUGGACUCAUCCUACAGCAGGGAAAGGAGCUCACCCCAUGGCCUUGUCUUCCAUCAGGAAAAGGAGCUCAGCCCGUGGCCUUGUCCUGCCCCUCCUGAAUUCAGCACUAAAGGGAGGUUCUGCUGCUGCCUUUGGGAAUUCAGAAAUUCAGGACUAAAGUGAGGUUUUGGUGCUCCCUUUGGGGAGUCAGGAAUUCAGCACUAAAAGCACUAAAGGGAGGUUUUGGUGCUGCCCUUGGGAAUUUGGGAAUUCAGGAAUUCAGCACUAAAGGGAGGUUCUGGUGAGGGUUUUGUGUCAGUGUUAAAGCUCUGAGCCUGCAGAGUGACUCGUGGCUGGUGCUGUGAGGAGAUCAGACCUUCAGCAGGAUCUGCUGCUCCUGCAGGUGCAGCCAGGCCCUGGUGCAUCCCCUUGCCCCAAAAUCAGUGCUGUGCAGCCAUGCACGGUACCUGGCAGCCAGAAAUGCACAAUUAGGAGGGCACAGAAGGAUUUCUGUCACUGCUGGGCUGCUCAGAGGUGCAUCCUCUGUGCAAACAAGUGAGGAGUGAGCUCCUGGCUCGGGCUGGAAGUGAAACAAGGGAAAAUUGGCGGUUUAGCUGCAGAUCAGUGCCUAUUUUUAGGGCAGUUCUCUGAGUCCAGCAGCUGCCUGGGGAACUGGGAAUGAACCCUGGGCAGCCUCAGAGAAGACUUUGGACUUUGCCUCCACUUUUCCCUCAUUUUGUGCUGUCAGCCCUUGUUGUAAACCCCAGUGACACCGAGCACACACCCCGUGGGGCUGCCAGCUCCACCUCUGUUUGUGGGUUUGCAAGAGUGUCAAUAAUUCAGCGUAGCAAUGGUCCAAACUGGGCAGCACUGGCACCAGGGCUCCCCAAACCCCUUCUGCAGGCACUAAAGCAAGGCUGGCACAUUCUGCUCCUCAGUCAGGGCCUGCAGAGCAGAUUCUGGGGCAGCCCCAGUCACUGGCAGCGUUUAGAGAUGGAGAUUUUAUUAUUAACACAUAGAACUUUGCAGGGAUGGUUCCUUUUAUAAACACAAACAACUCUGCAGGGAUGGUUCCUUUUAUAAACACACACAAGUUUUCAUUUUACAACUCAGCUGGGUGGGAAAAGCAUGAAGGAGUUCCUGCUCAUGAUGAAAAAUAAAGGUGCUCCAGGCUGUGUUUGCCGAGGUGGG
This is a long non-coding RNA of Zonotrichia albicollis (white-throated sparrow), 2077 nucleotides long. NCBI's taxonomy places the organism in Eukaryota, Metazoa, Chordata, Aves, Passeriformes, Passerellidae. The record is from Ensembl.